Molecule: unclassified non-coding RNA, 427 nt
Filed under: uncultured Chytridiomycota
Lineage: Eukaryota; Fungi; Chytridiomycota
Description: sequence contains ITS1
Rfam family: 5.8S ribosomal RNA (bases 1-103)
Source: RNAcentral
GAAAUGCGAUACGUAGUGCGAAUUGCAGAACUCCGUGAAUCAUCAAAUCUUUGAACGCAACUUGCGCUUCCAUUUACGUGGGAGCAUGCUUGUUUCAGUGUCCGUCUCAACCUCUCCCCGCCACUCGUGGGCGCGCUGGAGGGCAUGGGUGCGUCUGGGCUCCUGCCCAGUCACCUGAAGUACAGUGGCACGCUAGUGAAUACCAGCGUACUCUCACACACCACGCAGUUGCAUUUUCAACUGCCCUGCACUAUUGCAGGCCUGGGUAAGAAGGAGGUUAACCCCUCUUUUCCACGCACAGGCAGGCAGCAGCAGGCGCGGGCAGCAGCGUGGCCGAGAGGCCUGGGAUUCCUGUAGAGCGUAGCGCCGAGACCCCCCAACCUUUUUCAUCGGACCUGAAAUAAGUAAGAGGACCCGCCGAAUUUAA